This is a long non-coding RNA of Bos mutus (wild yak), 296 nucleotides long. The record is from Ensembl. Lineage: Eukaryota; Metazoa; Chordata; Mammalia; Artiodactyla; Bovidae.
UGGAUUCUGGCAGGCCCCUUGGGGCCUCGGAGCUCUGCGGCCGACCGGAGGAACCACUGCUGGAGGCUCCCGGCAGAGUAAGGUAAUCCCAAGGCCACAGGGACGUCCCGACACGUGCCAGGAGUCCCUCUCUGUGCCUGGGAGCAGGUGGGCCCGGGGCCCCUCAGAGCCGUCCUGUCCCCCCCCGGGACCCUCCCCCAAGGAGACUUCGCCUGCACCUCCUCUCCUUAGAAGGUGGGCUCCCUGUCACUGUCUUCUUAGAACAGUGAGGGUCUUCUGGCUGGGGAGGGCUGGGA